UUUCUUUCUCUCUCUCUCUCUCUCUAGGAGGAGCUCUUGAGAUGCCAUUGUUAUGCCCAAACCUUAUCAGUCACAGCUCACAAGAAUGAAAGUUUAGAGCUAAAAGGUUGAAGUGGAUUAAGUUAGAAGUAGAAGGCUUUGGUAAAUAAUCCUUUCUAGAGCUGAUAAAGGGUCAUUUUCUUUACUUUAUAAAUACACACACCUCUUUCGCUACCUUACUUCCAUUUCUUCUUCUCCUCCUCCCCUAAUCUUUGAGGGAUACAAAGGCUGUGUGGAGAGAUUUCUUUUUGUUCUGUGUUUGAAAGUUCCUUCUCCAACCAGCUCUUUUCCCUAUCAGGUAAGGUGCAAAUAAGAAGAGAGGAUGUCAGACUCACCUCAGAGGAAGAUGGGAAGAGGAAAGAUUGAGAUUAAGAGGAUCGAAAAUACAACAAAUCGUCAAGUCACUUUCUGUAAGAGACGAAAUGGGCUGCUCAAAAAAGCUUAUGAACUUUCUGUUCUCUGUGAUGCCGAAGUUGCUCUCAUCGUUUUCUCAAGCCGCGGCCGCCUCUAUGAGUAUGCUAACAACAGUGUGAAGGCAACCAUUGAUAGAUACAAGAAGGCAUCCUCGGAUUCCUCAAACACUGGAUCUACUUCUGAAGCUAACACUCAGUUUUACCAACAAGAAGCUGCCAAACUUCGAGUUCAGAUUGGUAACUUGCAGAAUUCAAACAGGAACAUGCUGGGUGAGUCUCUAAGUUCUUUGAGUGUAAAAGAUCUGAAAAGCCUCGAGAGCAAACUUGAGAAAGGAAUCAGCAGGAUUAGGUCCAAAAAGAAUGAACUCCUCUUUGCUGAAAUUGAGUAUAUGCGGAAAAGGGAAAUUGAUUUGCACAACAACAAUCAGCUGCUUCGAGCAAAGAUUGCUGAGAGUGAAAGAAAUGCCAACAUGAUGGGAGGAGAAUUCGAGCUGAUGCAAUCUCAUCCCUACGAUCCCCGAGACUUCUUCCAAGUGAACGGCUUACAACAUAAUCACCAGUAUCCACGCCAAGACAACAUGGCUCUUCAAUUAGUUUAAGUUAAUAAUAGUAUGGUUUGAAGCUCUCUGGUUGGUGGAUUAUACGGAGCGCCCAAUCUCUGCUGAUUGAAAGGUACUUGAAAGGAACUUGAAGAUCAUACCUCAUCUAUGCCUUACCAAAGUCUUAGCUUCUGGACUCUAAAAAAAGACAUAUUCCAAUAUAUAAAUAUAUAUAUAUGUAUGUAUGUAAUGUUGUUGUCUGGUAUGCAUCCAAAACAUUAAUAACCUAUCUUAUCUUUGUGUUUAAAUCUAUGUCUGUCAUACAAACAACUAACAUAUUGUCUCAUACUUCUGUCUUGUUUUCUGUUUCACGGUCUCAGCUUUCUGUGA
This is a non-coding RNA of Cucurbita pepo subsp. pepo (vegetable marrow), 1381 nucleotides long. Lineage: Eukaryota; Viridiplantae; Streptophyta; Magnoliopsida; Cucurbitales; Cucurbitaceae. The record is from RefSeq and is a predicted model, not a curated record.